RNAcentral lists this ribosomal RNA (492 nucleotides) under uncultured bacterium. Its description in RNAcentral is "partial 16S ribosomal RNA". It matches the Rfam family "Bacterial small subunit ribosomal RNA", at positions 29 to 507 of the family's 1533-position model. The record is from RNAcentral.
AGUGAACGCUGGCGGUAGGCCUAACACAUGCAAGUCGAACGGCAGCACAGUAAGAGCUUGCUCUUACGGGUGGCGAGUGGCGGACGGGUGAGGAAUACAUCGGAAUCUACUUUUUCGUGGGGGAUAACGUAGGGAAACUUACGCUAAUACCGCAUACGACCUACGGGUGAAAGCAGGGGAUCUUCGGACCUUGCGCGAUUGAAUGAGCCGAUGUCGGAUUAUCUAGUUGGCGGGGUAAAGGCCCACCAAGGCGACGAUCCGUAGCUUGUCUGAGAGGAUGAUCAGCCACACUGGAACUGAGACACGGUCCAGACUCCUACGGGAGGAAGCAGUGGGGAAUAUUGGACAAUGGGCGCAAGCCUGAUCCAGCAAUACCGCGUGGGUGAAGAAGGACUUCGGGUUGUAAAGCACUUUUGUUGGGAAAGAAAAGCAGCAGGUUAAUACCCCGCUGUUCUGACGGUACCCGAAGAAUAAGCACCGGCUAACUUCGUG